Molecule: long non-coding RNA, 2490 nt
Organism: Ictalurus punctatus (channel catfish)
Lineage: Eukaryota; Metazoa; Chordata; Actinopteri; Siluriformes; Ictaluridae
Source: Ensembl
GGUCAGUGCAUGGGUUCAGAUGAUCUGAGGUAAGAGUCACACACUGAAUAUGAUCAUAGUUAACUGUAAGUGGAGUAAGUGGAGUAUUGUCCAGUAUUAUUGUGUGCAGUGGUGUGUACAAUUCAUUGGUAUUUUUAAACUGGCGUGUAAAUAAUUUUAACAGGAUAACACCUGUUAAAUGGGGUCCUCAAAUAUCGCAUUAUAACAUUGCCUUAUGAACUGAAAUCGUAUGAUAUAUGUGUGUGUGUGUGUGUGUGUGUGUGUGUGUGUGUGUGUGUGUGUGGAAGCCUGAGGUUUACACAUCUGCUAUUCUCGACUGAGAUACUAUACGCACAAUGCCCUAAGUGUUUUUAUGCGGGAUGUACUGUUCCAACGCUUGUGGUAAUUAAUGCUCACUCUUAGUGCUAGCGUAACUUUGGAAACCCGUAAACUACACUAGCGUAAACAAACACAGUGAAGACAGCACUGCCUGGACAAACACAAGCUCCGUGCUAAAGGAACGUCAGGGUUUCAGCAGUAAACCUGACUCUAAUGACUUUUCGGUUUGAAUCAGGAGCUCCGUGUUGCUUAUCGUGCAACAGAUGAGUGAAUAAACAAGCGCACACGGUGAACUGCUGUGUAACUGAUUGUGAUGGAUUUCACACACACACACACACACACACACUCACACACACACACACACUCCACUCCACUGGAUCUUACUCUCCACUAGAUUCUGUGCACGAACUGCACCAAAUUUGGUUUUGAUCUCCCCCUGUGUCGCCGCCUCUCACAGGCGGAGCGAGCGCUUAUCUCUGAAUUAUUGAACGAGUCUCCGUCUCAGUGUGUUUCAGAAGCACGGUGUAUUCGGCAUUAAGCAGCCCCCCUGUCAGAAACCUAUUUAAUAAUACACAGAGGAGCACAAACACACUUUCAAAUUGAGAGCGAUUGCACGGCGUCCCUGAAGAUGAUCGUUCGUUCAUCCCUCCGUCUCGCCCUCUGUCUGUCUGAGUGAAGAAUGAGCCGGGAUUCACAAAGUGAACGCUUCAAAUCACAUUCCUGUCAGAGCAAACAGGAGGAGAGGAGAGGACACUGUGCAUGAAGAGUCAGUACAAACACACACACACACACACACACUGACAUACACAUACUCACACUAUACGCACACACACAAAUGGGAUUUUUAGAGUGUAUGCAAGUUCAAAUCCCAGAACUGCCAAGCACGUCAGUAAUUAAGUCAGUGAGUAAGUCAGUAAAUUAGUAAAUCAGUAAUUAAGUCAGUGAGUAAGUCAGUAAAUUAGUAAGUCGGUAAUUAAGUCAGUAAGAAGGUCAGUGAGUAAGUCGGUAAAUUAGUAAGUCAGUAAUUAGGUCAGUAAUUAAGUCAGUAGUUAAGUCAGUAGGUAAGUCAGUGAGUAAGUCGGUAAAUUAUUAUGUCAGUAAUAAAGUCAGUAAGUCAGUAAUCAAGUCAGUGAGUAAGUCAGUAAAUUAGUCAGUAAUUAAGUCAGUAAGUCAGUAAAUUAGUUAGUCAGUAAUUAAGUCAGUGAGUAAGUCAGUAAAUUAGUAAGUCGGUAAUUAAGUCAGUAAGAAGGUCAGUGAGUAAGUCAGUAAAUUAGUAAGUCGGUAAUUAAGUCAGUAAGAAGGUCAGUGAGUAAGUCGGUAAAUUAGUAAGUCGGUAAUUAGGUCAGUAAUUAAGUCAGUAAUUAAGUCAGUAGUUAAGUCAGUAAUUAAGUCAGUAGUUAAGUCAGUAAUUAAGUCAGUAGGUAAGUCAGUGAGUAAGUCAGUAAAUUAGUAAGUCAGUAAUAAAGUCAGUAAGUGAGUCAGUAAAUUAGUAAGUCAGUAAUUAAGUCAGUAAUCAAGUCAGUAAGUAAGUCAGUAAUCAAGUCAGUGAGUAAGUCAGUAAUUUAGUUAGUCAGUAAUUAAGUCAGUAAGUCAGUGAGUAAGUCAGUAAUUAAGUCAGUAAUUAAGUCAGUAAGUUAGUAAGUCAGUAUUUAAUUCCGUAAGUGAGUCAGUAAGUUAUUAAAGAGUAAGGCAGCACAUGAGUCAUUAAUUCAUUAAGUGAGUAAGUUGCUAAGUUAGUGAGUUAUUAAGUCUGUAAAUUAUUAAGUCAGUAAUUAAUUCAGUGAGUCAUUACAUUAUUAAAUAAGUGAGACGGUUAGUAAGUUGGUAAGUCAGGAAGUAAGUGAGUAAUUAAGUCAGUAAGUGAGUCAGUUAGCUAUUAAGUCAGUGAUUAUGUCGGUAAGUCAGUAAUUUAGUAAAUCAGUAAAUUAGUACAUCAGUGAGUAAGUCAGGAAGUAAGUGAGUAAGUGCUAAGUUAGUAAGUCAGUAUGUUAAUAAGUAACGUUAAUAAGUAUGUUCUUAAUGAGUUAGUUAACGUUAAUGAGUAAGUCAGUAAGUGAGUAAGUACUAAGUUAGUAAGUCAGUAAGUUAAGUCAGUUAUUAAAUGAGUCAGUAAGUGAGUGAGUCAGUCAGUCAUUAAGCAGUCAGCUUUAGUAAGCUGCCACUGUAGUGCCC